RNAcentral lists this long non-coding RNA (655 nucleotides) under Salmo salar (Atlantic salmon). RNAcentral describes it as "lncRNA (ENSSSAG00000093710.1)". The record is from RNAcentral. Lineage: Eukaryota; Metazoa; Chordata; Actinopteri; Salmoniformes; Salmonidae.
CUAACUUUAAACAUCAGCUAUCUGAGCAGCUAACCGAUCGCUGCAGCUGUACAUAGUCCAUCUGUAAAUAGCCCACCCAAUCCACAGACUACAAAUGUCGGUGAUGUUUGUGUCCAGUAUGAAGGAAGUUAAAGUUAGUUGUUGGUGACCUGCAGCGAUACAGACGAAGAGUACCUGCUGUCCCGAAGGCUUCUGCCCUACGACCUUGGCUACGGUGCUAACAGUCAGAGUGAAGCAGAGACAGAUCAGACUCCAGAUCAUGUUGUAGUUGAGGGAAGCAGCACAACGGACAAAGAACCGACCAGAUUCUCCACAGAGGAGUUUCCCGUUUCAACUACCGACAAGCGUGUCCUUUACAGGAUCUAUAAAGAGGAAACCAACGAGCAGAGAACAAUCCUCAGAAUCGUAAAUGCUCUUACCACUCUGGAGGACUUCAAGAGACUAUCCCUUUGGUGUCUGAGGGUCCUAUCCCGGCCAAACGUGUGCCACCCUAUGGGACUCCUAAUCACGGCCGGAUGUGAUACAGUGGAUUUGAACCAGGGACUGUAGUGAGGCCUCUUGCACUGAGAUGCAGAAGUGCCUUAGACCACCUCGCCACUCGGGAGCCUAUGCAGAAGUGCAGACUGACUGAACUUAAAUAAUAAAAUAAAAAAAU